CCAGCAAGAUCAAGUAAUUGGAUAGCACCUCCGGACCAAUAUGCCAAAAUCAACGUAGAUGCGGCGGUCAGAGCCAGCCAGGGAUGGGGAGUGGCUGCUGCAAUAUGUCGUGACCAAGCGGGCUCCUUUCAGGGUGCUUCGGCUCUUGUUACCAGAGGAAUCAAGGACCCAUCGACGCUGGAAGCAAUGGCGGACAGGGAGGCCUUGGCGCUUGCUGAAGAUCUCAACUUUCACAGGGUUCACGUUGCAUCGGAUUGCAAAAUCGUGGUGGAUGAUAUCAAGAGCAAAACGCCAGCUACAUAUGAAGCUAUUUUGCAUGAAAUUAUAGAACACAGUUCAUCGUUUAUUUCUUGUAAUUUUGUGCAUGAGUUUAGGAGCUCGAAUGCCGAGGCUCAUAAUCUAGCGAAGCAUAGUUGA
Molecule: ribosomal RNA, 417 nt
Filed under: Triticum aestivum (bread wheat)
Lineage: Eukaryota; Viridiplantae; Streptophyta; Magnoliopsida; Poales; Poaceae
Description: partial small subunit ribosomal RNA
Source: RNAcentral